CAUCUUAUACAUAAAACAGGAAGUGUUGCUUGGGAUUUAAACCCAGUCACUAGUUUGAUUUAGCUAAUACUUUAUUUUAUUUCAGUACCACAUUUGUUUGGGUUAGUAUGUCACAUGUAUGAACAAGGAUCUUCAUUUAGGUCAAAAGAAGAGAUACCGCUUGAGUUCAAAACACUGACAAACAGGAAGUGAAACGUGUGACCUGAACUUAAACUCACCCCUUAAAUGACUAAACAAGAACCAGCUGGUCUUAAUACAUCUAAUCUGGAUGUAAUACCAUUAACUGAGGUAAUAAAAAAACAAUAGGGAUAAAAACUUUCACAACCAUGAAUAAUGCAAUAAAGCUCUCAGUGGUUCUCUGGGGUAUAAGCAUAGUUAUAAUGGCAGUGUUUGAUCUCGCCUGGCAGUACCAGUAUGGGGGAGGCUGGGUGGAUAAUUAGUGCCAGGCACAGUCAUCUUAUCUAGGUUAGCGACUCAGACUAAUCCGCCAACACGAGCACUACCAUGCCCUGCAUUCCAGCGCACAGCCUCCAUUCCGCACGGAGCAGUUCAAGGGCCGAUACCACCCAAAGAGACAUCUCACCCCCUUACUGACAUUUCUACUGGAGCCACUGAAGUUUAAGAGCAGCCCACAGAUGUCAGCCAUUACACAGAUGCAGGAGUGAAAAAGGGUCACGCACAUGGACGAUGUUAACCGAACCACAAAGCGCAUUAAAAUGCAACUUUGGUUUGAAGUGAUGAGGUCUCAAGGGUUGUUGCAUAACCUAAAAAGGUGCUAACUGAAACAAAGCCAAGCAUCUUGUGUCAUUGAAGGUUCUACUGGACUUAAAUCUGAAGAAAAAAAAGAAAAAAGUAAAAAUAACAGAACAAUAGCCCACAAGCAAGCUGUAGGUCGGUCAGCACAAACCCAAAGUCCAUCCAAAUGGCCCACGCGAAAAAUAAAUCACACCAGGAGGGAUUCAUCCAAGAGGAGGAGAACCUAGCACAAAAUCUCCACAUCUCCACGUGAGUCAGGCGCUGGGCUGGCCAGAUCUGCGAUGAAGGGUUAUGAGUGUGGACACAGGCCCAAUGACUGUCUGCCAAACUCUAUCUCCACCGAAAAGAUAAGACCAGGCGAGAAAAGAAGAGAACAGAGAAGAUGAACCAAGAGGGAAGAAGAGAAGAGGAAUGAAGAGACAAGAACUGAAAGAUUGAAAAUAAGAGAAAAAUUGAGAAAGAAAGAAAAAGUAGAGAACUGAUAGGAAGAUGAAAAACAAAAAAAUAUAUAUGAAGUCUUCAGAUGCAAAAACCAAGUCCAUGUGAGAUUUUUCCUAAUUUGUUUUCAGGAUUUUUAUCAGGCUCCAGUGUUCAGGUUCAAUUAUUUCACUGUAAUAGCUAUUAAUCAAUUAUUGAAUGCUCUAUUAAAAAAAAAUGCAAUGAUAUUUUCAUAGCAGCCUGUUAAAAUAGCUCAUUUGAAAGAAAAAUCCAUUUUAUUUGAAAGAGUCCUCAUAUAUAAAAAGAAAGGGGAUAAAGAAAAAUGAGAAGAUACAAAAUAAAAGAACAAAGAAAAAAAGGAUAGGAUGAGAAAUUGAAAAAUAAACAAGAAAAGAAAAUGAAAAAGACAUUAGAAAAGUAAAAGAAAUGAGAAAUUUAUAAGAAAAUAACAAAAAGAAAGGAGGAGAAACAGAAAAGAAAACAAAAGAAAAUGUAAACCAAAUAACAAACAAUAACAGAGCUGAGAAAUCAGAAAAUAGAACAGGUGACGGGAAGAGACAAGGAAUGUGAAAAAAGUAAAGGAAAACAGUAGGAAACAGAAGAAGAGAAGAGAUUAAAGAGGAGGAGAGCCAAUAUAUAAGAACAGAAGAAUAAAAAAAGAAAAAGAAAAAAAAUGGAAAGUGGAAAACUGUGGAGCCCAAAAAAAGAGAAGAGACGUGAAGUUAACAGAUGAGGGACAAAGAGAGAAGAGUUCACUAAAGAGUUGAGAAGAAAACAGGAAAGAAGAGAGCAGACAAUACAGUAUCUAAUGAUCCUGAUUAACUAUGACAGCGUUGAAAUCACUGAUGGGUGUUGCUCAUGACAUUCCUGCAAUUAAAGCGGCAGUAAAGUGACGUUAUGAAGACCCGAAGGCGUGUGACAUCAGAAGUGGAGACCAUCCAAGACACGCCAAGACAUUCAGGGCCGGGCACAGAAUGACAUCAGCGCCAAGUGUGUCUCGAACAUGGGCCAUGCAUCAGCUGCAAACAGAGCCCGCUGUGAUCGAUCUCCUCAGGGACGUCUGCGAAAGGGAUGAAAACUAACCCACCCAUCCAUCCAUCCCCCACCAAGCCCUGCACUCCUCAGCACACUGUAGACAUAAAUAUCACUUCCUUUCUCUUCUGUCAAGGUCAGUUCUCCCUACCUUUGAAAUCAACACCAUCCAGGGAGAGAGGAAAUACUCAGUGGCCUGUUUAAAUCGAACGCCAGAUCAUGAUAACAAUAUGGACCGAGAGGAGAUGCAAAAUGGGUUUAUGCACCAUCAGCAGAAAACAGAACACUUCCGUCCCAGCCGGAUGGGUCCUUCGUUUGCCAUCCCGCCAGAUAUUCGAGAACGUGGUUUGAUUUUGAAGUUAUACUGUAGAUUUAAAGCAGUAUUACCAGAAUGUUGCGUUCUGUUCUGUUACAGUAAAUGCUGGCAGUCGGUAGAAGAUGACACUUCUUUUUCUGCUGAACUCAAGUAAUUCAAUAUUUUAACAACAGUUUAUCUAACAAAGCUAGGUUUCACAAAUUACUGUUUUGUUUAAUGUGAUUCUUAUGAAGCAGUUCUUCUUCACAAAUCACUCUCAAUACUUUAUCAGUGCAAACAGUUUAUCCCGAUUUAUGAAUAAAUAGAAUCAGUUCUUUUUAGUAAAUUAAAGACAUACUCUGCAGCCUUUGUUCCAAUUCAUGAAAAAUAUUAUUAAUAUAUCUGGACCCUGGAUCACAAAACCAGUCUUAAGUCGCUGGGGUGUAUUUGUAGCAACAGCCAAAAAUACGUUGUGUGGGUCAAAAUCAUACAUUUUUCUUUUAUGCCAAAAAUCAUUAGGAUAUUGAGAAAAGAUCAUGUUCCAUAAAGAUAUUUUGUAAAUUUCCUGCUGCAACUAUAUCAAAAAUUCAAUUUUGAUUAGUAAUCUGCAUUGCCAAGAAUUCAUUUGGACAAUUUUAAAGUUGAUUUUCUCAGUAUUUAGAUUUUUUUGCACCCUAGAUUCCAGAUUUUCAAAUAGUUGUAUCUCAGCCAAAUAUUGUCCGAUCUUAAUAAACCAUACAUCAAUGGAAAGCUUAUUUAUGAUUUGAACAAAUAAGUGAUUCAUUUCAGUCAAUCAAAAACACACAGUGCCAUUAGUGUAGCCUGAUUCAUGAAAAAAAUAACUUUUACGAUCCAAUUAUUGUAAUUAAAUCGGAAAAAGAUACCGAUACUGAUUUGUAUCGUCCUUCACAACUGUCUUUUAUAAUUUACAGCAUUAGCAGAGUGAAACAUGUUUAAAACAAAGAUUGCAGGAGAAUAUUUUUUGUCUUCAGUUUUCAUCUUCCAAAUUUAAUGUUUACUUUGAAGUGUAACUUCCCAUUUCUUUAUAAUAAAAAUGUACUAGCCA
This is a long non-coding RNA of Carassius gibelio (silver crucian carp), 3587 nucleotides long. RefSeq lists it as uncharacterized. The record is from RefSeq and is a predicted model, not a curated record. The transcript has 2 exons. Lineage: Eukaryota; Metazoa; Chordata; Actinopteri; Cypriniformes; Cyprinidae.